This 440-nucleotide ribosomal RNA is filed under the name uncultured bacterium. Its description in RNAcentral is "partial 16S ribosomal RNA". It matches the Rfam family "Bacterial small subunit ribosomal RNA", at positions 338 to 795 of the family's 1533-position model. The record is from RNAcentral.
CCUACGGGAGGCAGCAGUGGGGAAUAUUGCACAAUGGGGGAAAGCCUGAUGCAGCAACGCCGCGUGAGUGAAGAAGGACUUCGGUAUGUAAAGCUCUAUCAGCAGGGAAGAAGAUGACGGUACCUGAGUAAGAAGCGCCGGCUAACUACGUGCCAGCAUCCGCUGUAAUACGUAGGGGGGAAGCGUUAUCCGGGUUUACUGGGGGGAAAUGGAGCGCAGACGGCAGUGCAAGUCCGGAGUGAAAGCCCGGGGGUCAACCCCGGAACUGCUGUGGAAACUGUGCGGCUAGAGUACUGGAGGGGCAGGCGGAAUUCCUGGUGUAGCGGUGAAAUGCGUAGAUAUUAGGAGGAACACCAGUGGCGAAGGCGGCCUGCUGGACAGUAACUGACGUUGAGGCUCGAAAGCGUGGGGAGCAAACAGGAUUAGAUACCCGAGUAGUC